CGGGACAGUUCAAGUAGUCGUGUACCCAGGUCCCAAGCUGUGGAUAGCAGGUCCAUAGAUGGUCUUUCACAUGAAAGGUCCAUUUAUAAUAGGGCUGUGCCAACCACAUUCUCCCUGUCAGAAGCGAAAUUCCAGAAAAUAGUGCUUACAAAACUGGUGACUCUCACUGAUGACGUCAAAAAACUCCAGAGGAGCCUACCUAACUCUACAAUUGAGAUAACCAAGAUUGACACCUUGGAAGAGUUCGAGAGGGAGGCGGCUUCUCUUCUGGACAAAAACAAAUUUGAAACCUUGGCUCUUCACCAAUCAGCUGAUGACCCUAUUCAAUAUGAAGGGGAAGGGCAAGAAAGAUAAAAUUAGAAUUGAAGACAAGAAAUUGUUUUCAGCAAUAAAAGCUGCUGUCAUGAAAUGGGACCCAGCUGCAACAGAGGCCCAAAUAAAGUCUGCUGCAUCUGAACAUAUGAAACAUGCCCCCGGGAGAGUCGGGGGUGGUGGCUACAAAUAAUAUAUUGUGCACCUUUUGUGCCACAUUUUGUUAAUUGUUUACAUUUUAUAGCACUUUUAUUUAUAACUUUACUGU
Long non-coding RNA from Xyrauchen texanus (razorback sucker), 580 nucleotides. RefSeq lists it as uncharacterized. Lineage: Eukaryota; Metazoa; Chordata; Actinopteri; Cypriniformes; Catostomidae. The record is from RefSeq and is a predicted model, not a curated record. The transcript has 6 exons.